This 160-nucleotide ribosomal RNA is filed under the name Hillenburgia nasturtii. Its description in RNAcentral is "Spongospora subterranea f. sp. nasturtii 5.8S ribosomal RNA". It matches the Rfam family "5.8S ribosomal RNA". From Rfam's summary of the family: 5.8S ribosomal RNA (5.8S rRNA) is a component of the large subunit of the eukaryotic ribosome. It is transcribed by RNA polymerase I as part of the 45S precursor that also contains 18S and 28S rRNA. The record is from RNAcentral. Lineage: Eukaryota; Endomyxa; Phytomyxea; Plasmodiophorida; Plasmodiophoridae.
ACAACUCUUAGCAAUGGAUAUCUUGGUUCCCACAACGAUGAAGAACGCAGCGAAAUGCGAUACGUAAUGCGAAUUGCAGAAUUCAGUGAAUCAUCAAAUCUUUGAACGCAAGUUGCGCUUUCGAGAUAUCCUUGAAAGCAUGCCUCUUUGAGUAUCGGUU